RNAcentral lists this long non-coding RNA (359 nucleotides) under Fukomys damarensis (Damara mole-rat). RNAcentral describes it as "lncRNA (ENSFDAG00000032948.1)". The record is from RNAcentral. Lineage: Eukaryota; Metazoa; Chordata; Mammalia; Rodentia; Bathyergidae.
GCCUUUUGUGCCUGCCCAGCCCUCUCCGCGCCGGCUUGAGGCUUGCAGAUCCGUCAGAGGGACCAGAACUGCGGUUAACUCACAGCAUCCUGCGUAAGUCAAGAGCCAGAUGGAGACAGGUGAACACAUUUGAUGAAGCACGCCUAAGGGGCAUUGCUCUGUGUUUCUCCGGCAGCAGCUUGAUAACUGGUAGCAUUGGGACUGCCCUUCUGUGGAGAGUCCCUGAAGACACAUGGAACAGGUCCUUUGUGAGUCGAAGGUUACGUGGUGUCUUCUGCCUGUAUCAGAGAAAACUUAGAGUCUGGAAGAAUUUGCUGCCUCCGUGGAAUGUCCAUGUCUGGGAUAAAUUGAACGUCUGA